AGAGUUUGAUCAUGGCUCAGAUUGAAGCGGGGAACAGGCCUAACACAUGCAAGUCGAGCGGGGUUUUCGGACUUAAAGGCGGACGGGUGAGUAAUGCGUAGGAAGCUACCCGAUAGAGGGGGAUACCAGUUGGAAACGACUGUUAAUACCGCAUAAUGUCUACGGACCAAAGUGUGGGACCUUCGGGCCACAUGCUAUCGGAUGCGCCUACGUGGGAUUAGCUAGUUGGUGAGGUAAUGGCUCACCAAGGCGACGAUCUCUAGCUGGUUUGAGAGGAUGAUCAGCCACACUGGAACUGAGACACGGUCCAGACUCCUACGGGAGGCAGCAGUGGGGAAUAUUGGACAAUGGGCGCAAGCCUGAUCCAGCCAUGCCGCGUGUGUGAAGAAGGCCUUCGGGUUGUAAAGCACUUUCAGCGAGGAGGAAGAGUUGUGUGUUAAUAGUACACAGCUUUGACGUUACUCGCAGAAGAAGCACCGGCUAACUCUGUGCCAGCAGCCGCGGUAAUACAGAGGGUGCAAGCGUUAAUCGGAAUUACUGGGCGUAAAGCGCACGUAGGCGGUUUUUUAAGUCAGAUGUGAAAGCCCCGGGCUCAACCUGGGAAUUGCAUUUGAAACUGGAAAACUAGAGUGUGUGAGAGGGGGGUAGAAUUCCAAGUGUAGCGGUGAAAUGCGUAGAGAUUUGGAGGAAUACCAGUGGC
RNAcentral lists this ribosomal RNA (700 nucleotides) under uncultured bacterium. Its description in RNAcentral is "bacterial SSU rRNA". It matches the Rfam family "Bacterial small subunit ribosomal RNA", at positions 8 to 716 of the family's 1533-position model. The record is from RNAcentral.